GACGUAGGGCGCGAGCGUUGUCCGGAUUUAUUGGGCGUAAAGAGCUCGUAGGCGGCUCGUUGCGUCGGCUGUGAAAACCCGGGGCUCAACUCCGGGCCUGCAGUCGAUACGGGCUGGCUUGAGUGCGGUAGGGGAGACUGGAAUUCCUGGUGUAGCGGUGAAAUGCGCAGAUAUCAGGAGGAACACCGGUGGCGAAGGCGGGUCUCUGGGCCGUAACUGGCGCUGAGGAGCGAAAGCGUGGGGAGCGAACAGG
This 253-nucleotide ribosomal RNA is filed under the name uncultured bacterium. RNAcentral describes it as "partial 16S ribosomal RNA". It matches the Rfam family "Bacterial small subunit ribosomal RNA", at positions 524 to 776 of the family's 1533-position model. The record is from RNAcentral.